CGCAGCCGCGGUAAUUCCAGCUCCAAUAGCGUAUAUUAAAGUUGUUGCAGUUAAAAAGCUCGUAGUUGAAUUUCGGGAUCAAUUAAUUGGUCGUGCCUCUGGUACGUACUGGCAUUGUUGGUUUCUCCCUUCUGACGAACCAUGAUGUCAUUUAUUUGGUGUUGUGGGGAAUCAGGACUGUUACUUUGAAAAAAUUAGAGUGUUUAAAGCAGGCUCACGCUUGAAUACAUUAGCAUGGAAUAAUGAAAUAGGACGUUUGAUUCUAUUUUGUUGGUUUCUAGGAUCGACGUAAUGAUUAAUAGGGAUAGUUGGGGGCAUUAGUAUUCAAUUGUCAGAGGUGAAAUUCUUGGAUUUAUUGAAGACUAACUACUGCGAAAGCAUUUGCCAAGGAUGUUUUCAUUAAUCAAGAACGAAAGUUAGGGGAUCGAAGACGACCAGAUACCGUCGUAGUCUUAACCAUAAACUAUGCCGACUAGGGAUCGGAUGAUGUUAAUUUUUAAUGA
This 503-nucleotide ribosomal RNA is filed under the name uncultured Glomus. RNAcentral describes it as "SSU rRNA". It matches the Rfam family "Eukaryotic small subunit ribosomal RNA", at positions 569 to 1074 of the family's 1831-position model. Lineage: Eukaryota; Fungi; Glomeromycota; Glomeromycetes; Glomerales; Glomeraceae. The record is from RNAcentral.